GGUGGCCGCAGAGAAUAGGCCCAAGCGACUGUUUACCAAAAACAUAGGUUUCUGCUAAGUCGCAAGACGAUGUAUAGGAGCUGACGCCUGCCCGGUGCUGGAAGGUUAAGGGGAUCUGUUAGAGCAAUCGAAGCAGUGAACUUAAGCCCCAGUAAACGGCGGCCGUAACUAUAACGGUCCUAAGGUAGCGAAAUUCCUUGUCGGGUAAGUUCCGACCCGCACGAAAGGCGUAACGAUUUGGGCACUGUCUCAACAACAGACUCGGUGAAAUUGUAAUUCCGGUGAAGAUGCCGGAUACCUGCGACAGGACGGAAAGACCCCAUGGAGCUUUACUGUAGCUUGACAUUGGGUCUUGGUACUACAUGUACAGGAUAGGUGGGAGGCUUUGAAACCAGGACGCCAGUUUUGGCGGAGCCAUCCUUGGGAUACCACCCUUGUAGUACUGGGACUCUAACCAUAGGCCAUGAAUCUGGUCUUGGGACACUGUCAGGUGGGCAGUUUGACUGGGGCGGUCGCCUCCCAAAAGGUAACGGAGGCGCUCAAAGGUUCUCUCAGUACGGUCGGAAAUCGUACGUAGAGUGUAAAGGCAAAAGAGAGCUUGAUUGCAAGACAUACAGGUCGAGCAAGGAUGAAAAUCGGACUUAGUGAUCCGGUGGUUCUGCGUGGAAGGGCCAUCGCUCAACGGAUAAAAGCUACCCUGGGGAUAACAGGCUUAUCUCCCCCAAGAGUCCACAUCGACGGGGAGGUUUGGCACCUCGAUGUCGGCUCAUCACAUCCUGGGGCUGUAGUAGGUCCCAAGGGUUGGGCUGUUCGCCCAUUAAAGUGGUACGCGAGCUGGGUUCAGAACGUCGUGAGACAGUUCGGUCCCUAUCCGUCGCAGGCGUAGGAAAUUUGAGAAGACCUGUCCUUAGUACGAGAGGACCGGGAUGGACGUACCUCUGGUGUACCAGUUGUCCUGCCAAGGGCAUGGCUGGGUAGCUAUGUACGGAAUGGAUAAGCGCUGAAAGCAUCUAAGCGCGAAGCCAACUUCAAGAUAAGAUUUCCCACCGCAAGGGUAAGACCCCAGAAAGACUAUCUGGUUGAUAGGUCGAAGGUGUAAGUGCAGCAAUGUAUUUAGCUUAUCGAUACUAAUAGGUCGAGGACUUGACCAAU
Molecule: ribosomal RNA, 1152 nt
Filed under: Clostridioides difficile
Lineage: Bacteria; Bacillati; Bacillota; Clostridia; Peptostreptococcales; Peptostreptococcaceae
Description: bacterial LSU rRNA
Rfam family: Bacterial large subunit ribosomal RNA
Source: RNAcentral